CCUGAGGCUCUUCUCAGAGCCACUAACCACACUUUUGGCAUGUCUCU
Amazona aestiva (blue-fronted amazon) is the source of this 47-nucleotide non-coding RNA. The record is from Rfam. Lineage: Eukaryota; Metazoa; Chordata; Aves; Psittaciformes; Psittacidae.